This 502-nucleotide ribosomal RNA is filed under the name uncultured bacterium. RNAcentral describes it as "partial 16S ribosomal RNA". It matches the Rfam family "Bacterial small subunit ribosomal RNA", at positions 28 to 507 of the family's 1533-position model. The record is from RNAcentral.
GACGAACGCUGGCGGCGUGCCUAAUACAUGCAAGUCGAACGAACCGCGACUAAGUGCUUGCACUAAGUCAAGGUGAGUGGCGAACGGGUGAGUAACACGUGGGUAACCUACCUCAUAGUGGGGGAUAACAGUCGGAAACGACUGCUAAUACCGCAUAGGACAUAGGAUCACAUGAUCCAGUGAGGAAAGGUGGCGCAAGCUAUCGCUAAGAGAUGGACCCGCGGUGCAUUAGCUAGUUGGUAGGGUAAAGGCCUACCAAGGCGAUGAUGCAUAGCCGACCUGAGAGGGUGAUCGGCCACAUUGGAACUGAGACACGGCCCAAACUCCUACGGGAGGCAGCAGUAGGGAAUCUUCCGCAAUGGACGCAAGUCUGACGGAGCAACGCCGCGUGAGUGAAGAAGGUCUUCGGAUCGUAAAGCUCUGUUGUUAGAGAAGAACAGCGCAUAGAGUAACUGCUAUGCGUGUGACGGUAUCUAACCAGAAAGCCACGGCUAACUACGUG